UAGAGCACAAAAGUUCAAUUGGCCAAAACCAAACUCCUGGGGCAGAAUGUUUCAGUCCCAGGAUAACUGGGACUAAUUUUUGGUGGUGCCCAAUGCCAGGACAAGAGGCAACAGGUACAAACUGGAACACAAGAGGUUCCAUCUAACCACCAGGAAGGACUUCUUUACUGUGCAGGUGACAGAGCACUGGAAUAGGCUGCCCGGAGAGGAGGUUGUAGAGUCUCCCUCCUUGCAGAUCUUCAAAAGCCAAAUGGACAUGGUCCUGCGCAACUUGCUCCCCUGCUUGAGGAGAGGGGUUGGACCAGAUGACCUCCAAAGGUCCCUUCCAAUCUCAACUGUUCUGUGAUUCUACCUCUUCCUA
Oxyura jamaicensis (ruddy duck) is the source of this 361-nucleotide long non-coding RNA. RefSeq lists it as uncharacterized. The transcript has 2 exons. The record is from RefSeq and is a predicted model, not a curated record. Lineage: Eukaryota; Metazoa; Chordata; Aves; Anseriformes; Anatidae.